Molecule: long non-coding RNA, 754 nt
Organism: Mus musculus (house mouse)
Lineage: Eukaryota; Metazoa; Chordata; Mammalia; Rodentia; Muridae
Product: predicted gene 15286
Exons: 5
Source: RefSeq, a predicted model, not a curated record
GCUUGUUGAAGGAAGUAUGUCACUGUGGAGGCAGGGAUUUCAGGCUCGUACGCUCAGGCUCCGCCCAGUGCAGAAAGCAAUCCUGCUUUUGGCUGCUUUGGUAUCGGGAUGUAGUAGAACUUUCGGUAUUUCCAACGCAUGUCUGCCUGCACACUGCCAUGCUCCCCGUCAUGAUGAUAAUGGACUGGACUUCUGAAACGUACUGUGGAACUGUGGAUUGAACCUAGAGCUUUGCACACGUUACCAAACUAACCACUCAGUUGGUGUCACUGCUUGAGCAGUUUAGGAAGUGCAGCCUUGGUGGAGGAAGUAUGUCACCAAAGUUCCAGACUCCGGACCGUGAGAUGGUGCUACCCAGAUCCAGGGUGUAUCUCUGUGGGGAUGCUCUCGCAUGCACAUACCUCCUCAUUGAUUGAAACCUCAGUCCAGGUGGCCUUGAAGAUUAAUCAUCACAGUAGCAGCCAACCCACUGCCCUGAGCUUUACAGGAUCUUCCACGUCCUCAGAUGCCAGCCUGAAAAUUAUACCCAACAUAUCCACACCUCCCUCACUACCUCAUUCUCCUACUUUGGUGUAGAUUUAUUUCAAAGAGCAGUUAUUUGAAGCUUCAAUCAAAUUAUACACCAGGAGUUCCUGCCAUUUUUGUUGCUGAGUGAUGUCCUAUGCUAUUGAUGUGCCAUUUAUUGACAAACUAUUUAUCCUGUGGCGUACAACUGGUUAUUUUCAGAUUUGGAUUAUUAUGAAUAAAGCUACCG